GACGAACGCUGGCGGCGUGCUUAACACAUGCAAGUCGAGCGAGCCGCGGACGGGUGUGUAAUGUCUGGGAAAUUGCCUGAUGGCGGGGGAUAACUACUGGAAACGGUAGCUAAUACCGCAUACCAUCAGAUGUGCCCAGAGGGGAUUAGCUUGUAGGUGGGGUAAUGGCACACCAGGGCGACGACCCCUAGCUGGUCUGAGAGGAUGACCGGCCACCCGGGAACUGAGACACGGUCCAGACUCCUACGGGAGGCAGAAGUGGGGAAUAUUGCACAAUGGGCGCAAGCCGGAUGCAGCCAUGCCGCGUGUGUGAAGAAGGCCUUCGGGUUGUAAAGCACUUUCAGCGAGGAGGCGUUACUCGCAGAAAAAGCACCGGCUAACUCCGUGCCAGCAGCCGCGGUAAUAC
RNAcentral lists this ribosomal RNA (406 nucleotides) under uncultured bacterium. RNAcentral describes it as "partial 16S ribosomal RNA". It matches the Rfam family "Bacterial small subunit ribosomal RNA", at positions 28 to 526 of the family's 1533-position model. The record is from RNAcentral.